RNAcentral lists this ribosomal RNA (1274 nucleotides) under Enterococcus faecium. Its description in RNAcentral is "bacterial SSU rRNA". It matches the Rfam family "Bacterial small subunit ribosomal RNA", at positions 1 to 1247 of the family's 1533-position model. Lineage: Bacteria; Bacillati; Bacillota; Bacilli; Lactobacillales; Enterococcaceae. The record is from RNAcentral.
UUUUAUGAGAGUUUGAUCCUGGCUCAGGACGAACGCUGGCGGCGUGCCUAAUACAUGCAAGUCGAACGCUUCUUUUUCCACCGGAGCUUGCUCCACCGGAAAAAGAGGAGUGGCGAACGGGUGAGUAACACGUGGGUAACCUGCCCAUCAGAAGGGGAUAACACUUGGAAACAGGUGCUAAUACCGCAUAACAAUCAAAACCGCAUGGUUUUGAUUUGAAAGGCGCUUUCGGGUGUCGCUGAUGGAUGGACCCGCGGUGCAUUAGCUAGUUGGUGAGGUAACGGCUCACCAAGGCCACGAUGCAUAGCCGACCUGAGAGGGUGAUCGGCCACAUUGGGACUGAGACACGGCCCAAACUCCUACGGGAGGCAGCAGUAGGGAAUCUUCGGCAAUGGACGAAAGUCUGACCGAGCAACGCCGCGUGAGUGAAGAAGGUUUUCGGAUCGUAAAACUCUGUUGUUAGAGAAGAACAAGGAUGAGAGUAACUGUUCAUCCCUUGACGGUAUCUAACCAGAAAGCCACGGCUAACUACGUGCCAGCAGCCGCGGUAAUACGUAGGUGGCAAGCGUUGUCCGGAUUUAUUGGGCGUAAAGCGAGCGCAGGCGGUUUCUUAAGUCUGAUGUGAAAGCCCCCGGCUCAACCGGGGAGGGUCAUUGGAAACUGGGAGACUUGAGUGCAGAAGAGGAGAGUGGAAUUCCAUGUGUAGCGGUGAAAUGCGUAGAUAUAUGGAGGAACACCAGUGGCGAAGGCGGCUCUCUGGUCUGUAACUGACGCUGAGGCUCGAAAGCGUGGGGAGCAAACAGGAUUAGAUACCCUGGUAGUCCACGCCGUAAACGAUGAGUGCUAAGUGUUGGAGGGUUUCCGCCCUUCAGUGCUGCAGCUAACGCAUUAAGCACUCCGCCUGGGGAGUACGACCGCAAGGUUGAAACUCAAAGGAAUUGACGGGGGCCCGCACAAGCGGUGGAGCAUGUGGUUUAAUUCGAAGCAACGCGAAGAACCUUACCAGGUCUUGACAUCCUUUGACCACUCUAGAGAUAGAGCUUCCCCUUCGGGGGCAAAGUGACAGGUGGUGCAUGGUUGUCGUCAGCUCGUGUCGUGAGAUGUUGGGUUAAGUCCCGCAACGAGCGCAACCCUUAUUGUUAGUUGCCAUCAUUCAGUUGGGCACUCUAGCAAGACUGCCGGUGACAAACCGGAGGAAGGUGGGGAUGACGUCAAAUCAUCAUGCCCCUUAUGACCUGGGCUACACACGUGCUACAAUGGGAAGUACAACGAGU